GGGAAUGUGGAGUAGUGGUUUGGGUGUUGCACUACAACUCUGGAGACCAGGGUUUAAUUCCCUGCUUGGCCA
Molecule: transfer RNA, 72 nt
Filed under: Phrynosoma platyrhinos (Desert horned lizard)
Lineage: Eukaryota; Metazoa; Chordata; Lepidosauria; Squamata; Phrynosomatidae
Description: tRNA-OTHER
Source: RNAcentral